UACGGGGGGGGCAAGCGUUGUUCGGAAUUACUGGGCGUAAAGGGCUCGUAGGCGGCCAACUAAGUCGGAUGUGAAAUCCCCAGGCUUAACCUGGGAACUGCAUCCGAUACUGGAUGGCUUGAAUCCGGGAGAGGGAUGCAGAAUUCCAGGUGUAGCGGUGAAAUGCGUAGAUAUCAGGAGGAACACCGGCGGCGAAGGCGGCACUCUGGGCCGGUACUGACGCUGAGGAGCGAAAGCGUGGGUAGCAAACAGG
Molecule: ribosomal RNA, 253 nt
Filed under: uncultured bacterium
Lineage: Bacteria
Description: partial 16S ribosomal RNA
Rfam family: Bacterial small subunit ribosomal RNA
Source: RNAcentral